Long non-coding RNA from Cebus imitator (Panamanian white-faced capuchin), 645 nucleotides. RefSeq lists it as uncharacterized. The record is from RefSeq and is a predicted model, not a curated record. The transcript has 2 exons. Lineage: Eukaryota; Metazoa; Chordata; Mammalia; Primates; Cebidae.
UGUCUGAAUAACCACAACAACCAAUGCGCUUCCAUGUUUAAUAAGCCACAUCUUCAGUUGAACCUGGGGUGAAAUGUGAGACCCUGAUUCUGUGGGGUAGUAUUAGAGAGUUGGCCUGGCGCUGUGAAGACCAUCAUCCUCAGUAUAGUGGCAACUCCAGUGCACCUCUACCGCAAAGAUGGCUUAAGCAAAGGCAGCCAGAUGGAAGUGUGACAUCCAACAGAGGGGAAGUAGGCAGGGGUCACUAAAGUGGCUGGUGGCCCGGCAGAUGGAGGCAGAAGUAUGGCCAUCAGGGAAGGAGGCAGGUCCAGGGUUACAGUGCUUUCAGGUACUGGCGUUUCUAUAGGGGCAUUUGUCACCCACACCUUUGGAAACUCCCCUGGCCUUUUGUGACAUGGCAGGACUGCCUGGUUCGUAAAGGUGGAGAUGCUAGUGGGGAAGAGCUGAGCCUGUGAGGUGGUUUGUACCAGGUCUAGACGGGAAAUGAGGCUGCAGGCUAUGAUGGGGCCACUGCACUAACUGCUUGGUACCAUCCUGAGGGGACAAGGUACAGACUCAAGUUCCCAUAGGCACUUAAGCAUUGGGGGGUAGGAGGCCACCCCUGGGGUUCAGCUGUGCUCCUUCAGGCACCCAGCUUACCCCCAA